This 460-nucleotide ribosomal RNA is filed under the name uncultured bacterium. Its description in RNAcentral is "partial 16S ribosomal RNA". It matches the Rfam family "Bacterial small subunit ribosomal RNA", at positions 338 to 795 of the family's 1533-position model. The record is from RNAcentral.
CCUACGGGUGGCUGCAGUGAGGAAUAUUGGUCAAUGGACGCAAGUCUGAACCAGCCAUGCCGCGUGCAGGAAGACGGCUCUAUGAGUUGUAAACUGCUUUUGUACGAGGGUAAACUCCGAUACGCGUACCUCUCUGCAAGUAUCUUACGAAUAAGGAUCGGCUAACUCCGUGCCAACAGCCGCGGUAAUACGGAGGAUUCAAGCGUUAUCCGGAUUUAUUGGGUUUAAAGGGUGCGUAGGCGGGGGGAUAAGUUAGAGGUGAAAGCCCGAGGCUCAACUUCGGAAUUGCCGCUGAUACUGUUAGGCUAGAGAGUAGUAGCGGUAGGCGGAAUGUAUGAUGUAGCGGUGAAAUGCUUAGAGAUCAUACAGAACACCGAUUGCGAAGGCAGCUUACCAAGCUACAUCUGACGUUGAGGCACGAAAGCGUGGGGAGCAAACAGGAUUAGAUACCCUUGUAGUC